AUUGAACGCUGGCGGCAGGCUUAACACAUGCAAGUCGAACGAGUGGCGGACGGGUGAGUAAUGCUUGGGAAUCUAGCUUAUGGAGGGGGAUAACUACGGGAAAACGUAGAUAAUACCGCGUACCAUAGGAGUAGCCCACGUGGGAUUAGGUAGUUGGUGGGGUAAAGGCUCACCAAGCCGACGUCCGCUAGCUGGUCUGAGAGGAUGACCAGCCACACUGGGACUGAGAAACGGCCCAGACUCCUACGGGAGGCAGCAGUGGGGAAUAUUGCGCAAUGGGGGAAACCUGACGCAGCCAUGCCGCGUGAAUGAAGAAGGCCUUCGGGUUGUAAAGUUCUUUCGGUGACGAGGCGUUAAUCACAGAAGAAGCACCGGCUAACUCCGUGCCAGCCGCCGCGGUAAUAC
RNAcentral lists this ribosomal RNA (405 nucleotides) under uncultured bacterium. Its description in RNAcentral is "partial 16S ribosomal RNA". It matches the Rfam family "Bacterial small subunit ribosomal RNA", at positions 30 to 526 of the family's 1533-position model. The record is from RNAcentral.